CACGUAGGGCGCAAGCGUUGUCCGGAAUUAUUGGGCGUAAAGAGCUCGUAGGCGGUCUGUUGCGUCCGCUGUGAAAACUCGGGGCUUAACCCCGAGCCUGCAGUGGAUACGGGCAGACUAGAGGUAGGUAGGGGAGAAUGGAAUUCCCGGUGUAGCGGUGAAAUGCUUAGAUAUGACAUAGAACACCAAUUGCGAAGGCAGCUCACUACCCGAAUAUUGACUCUGAGGCACGAAAGCGUGGGGAUCAAACAGG
RNAcentral lists this ribosomal RNA (253 nucleotides) under uncultured bacterium. RNAcentral's name for it is "partial 16S ribosomal RNA". It matches the Rfam family "Bacterial small subunit ribosomal RNA", at positions 524 to 776 of the family's 1533-position model. The record is from RNAcentral.